CUUAUUCCAGACAGUCUUAAUAAUGAGAACUAUGUGAUCUGAAAUACUGAACUUCUGGAAUUACAAUAACUUCUGUUAAUAUGUGUGAUACAGAUUCCUGGAAACUUGAGGAGCAGUCUUCCAGCAGCCAAGGAAUGCAGUUCCCCCCGGAUGUGUGGGUAUCUUGCAGAAAUCGAACAGAAGUGGGACAGACCAGUAGUAAGAACCUAAAGACAAGAAGCUAAAGGCUUUCAAUUUCAAGAUGGAUCAAGUGGAGCAUAUUGGAAACCUGUAAACAAGAAGUCUCUUCUCCCAUUUUUUCCCCUUCAGUCUGCACCAUAGCAACUAUCUGAAUAUAAGGAUUUCAUGUCUUGUAUGAAGAAAUUUGUAGAGAAGCCUUAUUAUUCUUUUGUUCAUUCCUAUCACAAAGGUAUACUAUAUGAACAUACGUGAUGCUGUCUUAGAGAUUUGGGUGUCUCAUUCAUAGGAGGAAGCAAUUGCAAAUAUCAGUUUAGUUAAAAGUUUUUAUUUUUCUCUUAAGCUUUCUUCCCUAUCUGUAUACUGAGUUGCGAACCCUACUGCAAAGGAUUUGUGAACUUGUGCUGAAAAUAACAUGUGUUUUCUGACCUGAACAUUUCUCCUUCUCAGUAGGAAGAUCUACAGGUUCUGCAUUGGAUAAAUGUAAUGAAAUUGGUAGCUUUAAGAAAUGGAGAACAUAAAUGUUUCAGUACAGAGUUUGAAUAAUUAAAAUUUGGAACUAAGUACAUUUUAGCCUCGGGCAUCUUGCAAUUGCUGUUUAUGAGGAGGAUGUUAUUUUAGAAUGACUUGGAUCCUUGGUCAAUAUUACUGAUUUUAAGACUGGUUAGCCCUUAUACUGCAAGUUGAAGGUAUGUUGGGGGGGGGAGAAAAAGGGCAAUUGUUUCUCAUAGGAUAGACACAAAAAGCUGUAGCCACAAGAUAAAUGCAUUGAAAGCAUUUUUCUUACUGGACCCAGUUCUAAGCCUGUAUACUAUUUUUCUGCAGUUACAUACAUUUUUUUUCUACUGCUGACUGUCUGAUAUUCGUGAAAGUGCUCUCACAGUAGGUCUUAAACUUGCAUAUUCCCCUCUGGAUGCCCAACGUCAGAUGCACACAGGAUGUCUUGACUUCAGAGGUGCUUAUUGUCUACAACCUCCCUGGACUUCAGGAUCCAAGUGUACUAAUACAUCUAAGUUAAAAUAGAUUUGAAAUUGUUACAGGAAUGGUAUCUGUUACUUAAAGUCCGUCAGACUUUUAGCACUUCCUUUCUGAUGUCUUAGGCGCAUCAGUAACUAUACUUUGUCUUAUCUUUGUCAAAGUUUCUCUUACAGAAAAAAAGCUUUCUAAACAGAUGGCAGGCUACACUUGUUAGGUGUGUUGAAUUACAAGAUAAUGGUAUUAUGAACAGUUGCAUUCUCUGUGAAAGCUCUAAAAUAAGCAAAUGUUCCUAACUGGAUCUGUAAACUGUCUGUUGUUUGUUUUCAUUGGUGAAGUAUCUUUGUUCCUAGAAAUACAGUAGCUCUUAAUAUAAGUUGUAUAGUUCAACUUCUAAUGUAUAGAUACAGCACUCUUACUUUUAAAGGAAGUGCUCUCUAAGUUUUUUUUUAAGAGAUAUUUCACUAUCACAACAAACCUUUUCUAUUGUAUGAAGUGUGUGUGAAGCAUGUGCUAAAAAUUGCAUCAUGAACAUAAUCAGGUUAAACUGUGAUUUGUUUCAGACCUCAUUUUAAGUUUCCAGUCACUUUAAACUUAAUAAAAUACUUGCCUUUUAGAAAACA
This is a long non-coding RNA of Apteryx owenii (little spotted kiwi), 1775 nucleotides long. NCBI's taxonomy places the organism in Eukaryota, Metazoa, Chordata, Aves, Apterygiformes, Apterygidae. The record is from Ensembl.